ACAGAGGUGGCAAGCGUUGUUCGGAUUUACUGGGCGUAAAGGGUGCGUAGGUGGCUUUGUGUGUCGGGCGUGAAAUCCCACUGCUCAACGGUGGAACGCCGCCCGAAACUGCAGGGCUGGAGUGCAGGAGAGGAGAGCGGAAUUCUUGGUGUAGCGGUGGAAUGCGUUGAUAUCAAGAAGAACACCAGUGGCGUAGGCGGCUCUCUGGAAUGCAACUGACACUGAGGCACGAAAGCGUGGGGAGCAAACAG
RNAcentral lists this ribosomal RNA (251 nucleotides) under uncultured prokaryote. RNAcentral's name for it is "partial 16S rRNA". It matches the Rfam family "Bacterial small subunit ribosomal RNA", at positions 525 to 775 of the family's 1533-position model. The record is from RNAcentral.